This is an unclassified non-coding RNA of Chrysemys picta bellii (western painted turtle), 164 nucleotides long. The record is from Ensembl. NCBI's taxonomy places the organism in Eukaryota, Metazoa, Chordata, Testudines, Emydidae.
CAGAAACACUGGAAAUUGAAGCCCUCUGUUUACCCACACAAGCAGAAACAGUCAAAGCUUCCUUACCGCGCUACAGAAAUGACCUGAACACUGACCUGAAGGGACCACCCUCUUGAGAGAUGAAAAGUCAUUCAGUCUCCAUGCAAGGUCUGCUCAGGGGAUCU